ACACCUGAGGCUCGGAGCAGCUCAGUCAUUCAGCCCAGCUCAAAUCCUGGCCCAGCACCCACACCUCCUCCCGCCCCCCCAACACACAGAUACAAAUACUUAUCACGUGACCCAGGACACUCUAAGCCGUGCUGAGAUACCACAUCUGGCCGUGCGCCUUUAAGAAGGGGUGGCAGACCAAGGUCUCCACUAACAGCUGCCAGCGAGGGAAGUGGUCUGAGUUUCUGAGCUCGUGAACAACAGAGACUAGAGGAGCCUGCCAAGGCUAGACUCGAACCCGGGACCUUGCAGGAGUGAGAGGCCUAGAGGAAUGAGCUCCCGCCCACAGCUCUCACCCAUGCCGCACCCGUCUCCCAGGACCCUGCAGAGAAACGAAGAAAGCUUGAAACAAAACUGUAUUGAGGUCCCCAAGAUCCUGUGAGAUCACGCAGGAUCCCUCAGGAUGCUCCACCAUGAGAAAGCUCUGAAAGGUCCUGCCUGGAAGGCUCUGUGCUCCCAGGGACACUAUCGGUCCCAGGCUGGUCCACAGCCUGCCUCCACCUUGCUCACCCAUUGCCUCAAGCCUGAUGGAAGGAAGGGCGAAAAUGAAACCAACCUAUCUUCAUCAGAGUGAGGAAGACCUUCCAGCCAGGUGACUGCAGUUCCCUACACUUGCCAAUCCUAAGUACUGAAGUUUACAGAGACGAGCUCAGAAUCAUCCUUCAACACUACUCUUCUUCGUCAGUUAUUUUCACUUCACAAGACUGAGUGAGGACCGAGGAGAUGGUUCAGCAGGUAAAGAAAGGCCCUUGCUGCCCAGCCUGAUGGCCUAGGUUGAGCCCUCUGACCCCGCGUUGGGGGAGGGGAGAACCAACUGACCUCCACAAGUUCCACACCUGCGCAAAUAAAUAAAGGUUAAAAAAUGUUCAAGAAAGAGAAAAAGAUGGACGGAUGCCAACCUUGGGUAAGCUAAAGGGACCUUCCCUACAGAGUGCUUCUCCCAUGAACAGACACAGGCAUGGAGUAGCCAAGAGGCCACCGAGCACGGCAGAGGAAGGGUGGACCCGGGUGGGACCUUUCCCAUCCACCCCUUGAAAGGCCUGAGCCAUCACGGAAAUCCUCUCCAGACCUGGGGACUGGAGGAAAUAGCACCUGGCGCUGCCCCUGCCCUCAGAAUCUCGAGGUCAUGUCACUGAGCACGCUGCUGGUACCUGCCACGCCGGCGAGCAACCCCUCGGCUUCCUGGAAGGCUCAGCCCGGACUCUGUGACAGGAGCCCUGGAUUCCUAGAAUGAAGGUGCAGGGCCGAUGGGCCGGGAGCCAUCCUGGCCAUCCCCCCCCCUCCCCCCACCACAGUAAGUUCACUGCAGUCAAUGCCCCAGCUGAAGGGAACGUGGAAUAGGUGCCCUUUCCAGGGUUCACUGCAGUCAAUGCCCCAGCUGAAGGGAACGUGGAAUAGGUGCCCUUUCCAGGUUGCUCCCAUUUGGGACGGCGUCCACACUCCACUAGGAACACACGGGCCCGCCUUGGAGGUGAAGCUCCUGACUCAAAAUUCAGAGGCAGUGUUAGAACAAGAGACAGCCAAGAUUGUACUAGAGGAAGAUCUGGAGGCCACCUCCAUUUCCAAAUGCUAACAUGCCCACAUCCCUCCCUGCACAGCCGGAAAAACUGCAUUUGAUGCUGCCGUCAUCUCCGCAUUGGACCGAAACAUGAUAAAAAACACGAGGUGGUUUGCACAACUCCUGUAUAGGGACAAACACACCUCCAACGCCUUCUGGUUGAAGUCAUGGACAAAGGAAGUCCCAGACGGAAGAUUCUGGGAAGCCAGGUGGUGGGGUUCUCCAACGGACCUGGGAGCAGGAAGCGGACUUUGAGCCAUUAUCUUGUCCUCUGCAAGCUGCGGCGUCACUGGCCAUAGACCUGUGCCACAAGCACACAGCCGGGAAUGGAGAAUGCAGUCAGGGGCUAAGUGCACCUGACGCUGCAGCCGCCUACCCUCGUUCCUGAGCUGUUAGAAGAGGUUCGCUGGAAAGUGCAUCUCCUGGAAAGCCGCGUGUGACUGAAGGCAUUUCAGAUAACCCCCUCAAACACUUCCUUCUCAGGCUGAGGGUGCAGCUCUUGCUUAGUGUUUCCAGGGCCCUGGGCAGUCUCCCCGCCCUCCUCCCUUCCUUCCCGGUGACCUUAGAGUUAUGAUCUAGGCAGAGGGUUGACAGUGGCAAGAUCAUUGAGCUCUGUCAUCGGGCUGACGUGAGUUCAAUCCUCGCUCAGUUAUCCAUGACCCUGAGGUUGUGUGUUCUCACCUGCCUUUUCACCAUGUGGUUGAAAAAAAAUGAUAAUGCUAGGAUCCCAGCAAAAUGGUUUGCUUGUCACCCCCACUCCCACCCCGUUGUCUCUGGUGUGCUUUACAGGGACAGAGUUGAGACUGUAGCCCACUCGGAGUGUAACUCACACAGCCCAGGCUGUCCUGGAACCUGUGGAAAUCCUCUUCCUCAACCUCUGUGGGGCUGGAUGACAGAUGUGACCCCCACUUGGCUGACCCUUCUAACCAACUACUUCCUGUCAGGGAUGGUGCCUCACUCCCGUGAUCCCAUACAGAGGCCGGAGUGCUGAAGUUUCAGGCAAACCCCAGGUCUACACAUUGGGUUCCAGGACAGCCAGAACUACCUCAUGAGACCUUGUCUCAAAAAAAAAA
This is a long non-coding RNA of Peromyscus maniculatus bairdii (prairie deer mouse), 2670 nucleotides long. RefSeq lists it as uncharacterized. The record is from RefSeq and is a predicted model, not a curated record. Lineage: Eukaryota; Metazoa; Chordata; Mammalia; Rodentia; Cricetidae.